RNAcentral lists this ribosomal RNA (446 nucleotides) under uncultured bacterium. RNAcentral describes it as "partial 16S ribosomal RNA". It matches the Rfam family "Bacterial small subunit ribosomal RNA", at positions 330 to 793 of the family's 1533-position model. The record is from RNAcentral.
GCCAGACUCCUACGGGAGGCAGCAGUGGGGGAUAUUGCACAAUGGGGGAAACCCUGAUGCAGCAACGCCGCGUGAGUGAAGAAGUAUUUCGGUAUGUAAAGCUCUAUCAGCAGGGAAGAGAAUGACGGUACCUGACUAAGAAGCCCCGGCUAACUACGUGCCAGCAGCCGCGGUAAUACGUAGGGGGCGAGCGUUAUCCGGAUUUACUGGGUGUAAAGGGAGCGUAGACGGCUGGUCAAGUCUGAAGUGAAAGCCCGGGGCUUAACCCCGGAACGGCUUUGGAAACUGAGCAGCUAGAGUGCUGGAGAGGUAAGCGGAAUUCCUAGUGUAGCGGUGAAAUGCGUAGAUAUUAGGAGGAACACCAGUGGCGAAGGCGGCUUACUGGACAGUAACUGACGUUGAGGCUCGAAAGCGUGGGGAGCAAACAGGAUUAGAUACCCCAGUAA